Molecule: long non-coding RNA, 893 nt
Organism: Eriocheir sinensis (Chinese mitten crab)
Lineage: Eukaryota; Metazoa; Arthropoda; Malacostraca; Decapoda; Varunidae
Exons: 4
Source: RefSeq, a predicted model, not a curated record
UCUCUCUCUCUCUCUCUCUCUCUCUCUCUCUCUCUCUCUCUCUCUCUCUCUCUCUCUCUCUCUCUCUCUCUGUUCCCUACGAGUCCAGCCUCCCGGGACAUGUUGCGAUCGUGUACAGUACAGGUUCGGCCCAUGUCACUGGUCCCUUACUUAACAACAGGGCUACUACAGUGAUUCUUAGGUGACAGGUUACUUAUAAUACUGGUGUCACUUAACAACAUUGCUAUAGCCAGAUACAUCAAAAAGAGGUAUUUGUCAGUGUUAAGUAUUCAAGUGAAGUGUAAAGUGAUUAUCAGGUUACUUAUAUUACUGCUGCCCUACUUAACAACAGGGCUACUACAGUGAUUCUCAGGGGACAGGUUACUUAUAAUACUGCUGCCCUACUUAACAACAGGGCUACUACAGUGAUUCUCAGGGGACAGGUUACUUAUAAUACUGCUGCCUUACUUAACAACAGGGCUACUACAGUGAUUCUCAGGUGACAGGUUACUUAUAAUACUGCUGCCUUACUUAACAACAGGGUUACUACAGUGAUUCUCAGGGGACAGGUUACUUAUAAUACUGCUGCCUUACUUAACAACAGGGCUACUACAGUGAUUCUCAGGGGACAGGUUACUUAUAAUACUGCUGCCUUACUUAACAACAGGGCUACUACAGUGAUUCUCAGGGGACAGGUUACUUAUAAUACUGCUGCCUUACUUAACAACAGGGCUACUACAGUGAUUCUCAGGGGACAGGUUACUUAUAAUACUGCUGCCCUACUUAACAACAGGGUUACUACAGUGAUUCUCAGGGGACAGGUUACUUAUAAUACUGCUGCCCUACUUAACAACAGGGCUACUACAGUGAUUCUCAGGGGACAGGUUACUUAUAAUACUGGUGCCUUACUUAAC